Oncorhynchus keta (chum salmon) is the source of this 988-nucleotide long non-coding RNA. RefSeq lists it as uncharacterized. The transcript is spliced from 3 exons. The record is from RefSeq and is a predicted model, not a curated record. Lineage: Eukaryota; Metazoa; Chordata; Actinopteri; Salmoniformes; Salmonidae.
CCCAGCUGUAACAGACGUGCCUAUUUAGAUUUAAGGUUGUCUUGAACACAGCAGAUUCCCUCCGCCACAAGCUUUGACAGAAGAGACAAAAUGCAGCGGGUAUCAUUGGCAUUGGUCAUUUUCACCAUUGCAAUAAUCACAAUCCAAUCGGUGCCCAUAGAAACAAGUGGUGAAAUGAUUGAGAAAAUGCAACACGUCAGCAUGAGCCAGUUUCGCAGGAGAAGGGGGACUGACGACUCAUUCAAGAAACCCUCACAGUCCUGCUCUGGCUGCUACUCUGUCAUAGGAGACCCCACUACGACAUGAUCAUCCCGCUAGUGAGGAGCUGGUUUCACCUUUCCAGAGGACAAAUCAACAAACGUGGAAUCACCAGAAACUUUCACUCCAAAGAGCAAGAAGAAAAUACUAAAACCAAGGAACUAUCCUCAAAGUAAAUAUCAUCACUGGCACCCCCCUGUUUUCUAAGACAAAAAUGAACGACACUUUCAUAUGAAUCGUUCAUUGAUGAACGCUGGCUGCGUCUUGUGGGAGCGCCUGUUGAAAUGUCCUUUUCCCCCAUAUCCUCAUUUUGACUCAUAAGGGCAAGAAGUACAAUUUAGGCAUGUCAUUAUCAAUGACUUCAAUUUAGAGCUUUACGCAUGCUGAGUCACAGCCUGCUUAAACCAGACUGAAUGCUGUGCUCACAUCAUGUUGAGCACAAGUUUCAGUGUGGUUUAAGCAGGCCAGCUGAGUCAUAGGCUGGUUGAGGCACAAGUGGUAUUUUAAAAAAUGUGUCAUUGAAACCAUGCCACAACUCCAAAACCAUAUUGGCUAAGUUUGAAACCAAUUAGCAGUUUUAACCAAUCAGCAUCCAGUAUUGGACCCACCCCUUUGUAUAAGCUUUGUUAAUGUAUCAACAAAGUCGUCUUAUGUGCCAUAACUGAAAGCAGUGUCCCCAAAAGGAACACUCCAAUCUUACCCCAGUCUAUUUGAAUAAAGAGGCCUAGUU